GGUAGGUUCCUCCGCCUCCACCUUUCAAUAUUGUUGCCGCCGCGCUUUUCUCAUCCGGUCAUCCCUUUCCCGCCGAGAGCUCACCGGCCAGAUUCCUCGCCAAUCCCUUGUCCUCCCCGUCAGCUCUGCAAUCUCCCGUGUUCCCCACUGCUGCUAGUCCCAUGGGGUAGUAGUUUAGUUGGAUUUUUGUUGGGGAAUGGAGGGGAGAAACUUGGUUGACUUGGGAAACGACGGAUCGAGUUGGGGAACGGCAGAUCGAGUUGGGAAAAGGCUGAUUUGAGUUGAAGGAGCAAUCGAUUGAGAUGGACAACAAUCAACAGCAGUACCAUAGCUACUGCAUGUGGAGGCAGAAGGCACUAGUUGCUCUUGUUCUUAUGGUGGUUCUGUGGUGGAGGAAUUUAGAUGGUAGGAAGCGUAGAGGCAGUGGUGUGAAGUAUGGGCCAUUGGUUACUAGGGAUGUAUGGAGUGAACUAAUUAGGUUAAUUGACACCUCGGAUAGGAUAUGCAUUAGUCAAUUGAGGAUGUGUCGAGCUUUAUUUUACAAGUUGUGUAGUCGCCUUAGAGAAAAAGGGCUAUUAGGGGAUACCUUUCAUGUUUCUGUCGAGGAGCAAGUUGCAAUGUUUCUGAAGAUGGUUGGAUAGCAUCAUACCAAUUCAGCUGUAGGAUUUUCCAUGUGGCGGUCCGGUGAGACAGUGAGCAGAUAUUUCAAUGUUGUGCUACAUGCGAUGGGAGAGUUAGCCCGUGAACUAAUCCAUGUGAGAUCUACCGAAACACAUGUUAAGAUAAUCAGCAGCCCAAACAGAUUUUACCCCUACUUUGAGGGAUGCAUAUGAGCACUAGAUGGCACCCAUAUCAGAGCAUGUGUGCCUGCUAAAAUGGUGGAUAGAUUUAAAGGUUGCAAGUCAUACCCAACACAAAAUGUAUUAGCAGCUGUUGACUUUGAUCUUCGUUUCACCUACGUCCUGUUGGAGGUAUGCCCUAGAGGCAAUCAUAGAGAUGAUGAUAUUCCAUUUGUAUCCAUGAUUUGUAUAUUGCGUUCAUUGAAUAUCCAUUAAAGGCUACUUGAAUUG
Setaria italica (foxtail millet) is the source of this 1070-nucleotide long non-coding RNA. RefSeq lists it as uncharacterized. The record is from RefSeq and is a predicted model, not a curated record. The transcript is spliced from 3 exons. Lineage: Eukaryota; Viridiplantae; Streptophyta; Magnoliopsida; Poales; Poaceae.